RNAcentral lists this transfer RNA (77 nucleotides) under Alphaproteobacteria bacterium. RNAcentral's name for it is "tRNA-His". It matches the Rfam family "tRNA". Rfam says of the family: Transfer RNA (tRNA) molecules are approximately 80 nucleotides in length. Their secondary structure includes four short double-helical elements and three loops (D, anti-codon, and T loops). Further hydrogen bonds mediate the characteristic L-shaped molecular structure. tRNAs have two regions of fundamental functional importance: the anti-codon, which is responsible for specific mRNA codon recognition, and the 3' end, to which the tRNAs corresponding amino acid is attached (by aminoacyl-tRNA synthetases). tRNAs cope with the degeneracy of the genetic code in two manners: having more than one tRNA (with a specific anti-codon) for a particular amino acid; and 'wobble' base-pairing, i.e. permitting non-standard base-pairing at the 3rd anti-codon position. RNAcentral also lists the same sequence under 1 other name. Lineage: Bacteria; Pseudomonadati; Pseudomonadota; Alphaproteobacteria. The record is from RNAcentral.
GUGGCUGUAGCUCAGUUGGUUAGAGCGUCGGUUUGUGGUACCGGAUGUCGGGGGUUCAAAUCCCCUCAGCCACCCCA